RNAcentral lists this small RNA (635 nucleotides) under Arabidopsis thaliana (thale cress). Its description in RNAcentral is "ATSL012260". The record is from RNAcentral. Lineage: Eukaryota; Viridiplantae; Streptophyta; Magnoliopsida; Brassicales; Brassicaceae.
UUUUCAACCGCGGGGACUAAUUAUAUUUUAAAGUUAAUAUAUAUAAAAGUUUGUAAUUUGUAACUAUCUAUGUAACUUUCUAUAAAAUAUUUUUAUUUUAUAGUUUAGAAUUGUUAUUAAGUAACGUCCUGCCAAACCCGUCCCGCCAACCCGUCCCGUAAAAAAAACUCAUUUAUUUUAUUAAUGUUGAUCUUAUUUAUCAUAUGUUUAUGAAUCAUUGUCUAAAUAUUUUGUAAUUUUGUAGUAAUUAAAUGCUAUCAAAUAUCUCUGCGGUUUGAUGAUUAUAAUUGAAUUGUAAUAGUCAUGCAGAAAAACAAUAUCAAUAAUGAUAAUUUUGUAGUAAUUAAAUGAUAUUAAAUAUUUUGAAAGUUUUAUUUUAGUAACCAAUCGUGUAGUUAAUGUAGAGAGAUUUUAGGAAAAUUGUUAAAUGUCAAAUAUUUAAUUCGAAGAUUUUUUUCUAAUUAUCAAAAACAAAUAUUAAUCUAGUGGCAACCAUUGUAAAUAAAUCCCAACUACAGGAUUUAUUUCAUAAAAUGGCUGCAAAAAUGUAUAUAUAGAUAGAUGUGUAUAAAAAACAGAAGAAUUUGCUUGUAAUUUUUAUUUUAUUUUUUUAACACACCCUUAUAAUUUUCAAA